UUGACAGAAUAGUUUUUAUAUUUUUUUACUUGUAUUUUUGUAUUUUGUGUUGUGUUUUUUAUGGCCGUAAUAGUAGGCCCGAAACCAAUGUGGAGAUUCCCUGAUCGAUUUGAUGAGACUCGUAUUUCAAUUCCAAAUUAUCCAGGAGAAGAAAGAUAUAUAUGUGAAGAUUUAAGUAUUUAUAAACCUUUAUGUUUUGGCACACUGAGAGAAAGAAGCACUGAUCCAAUUGGUCCCAAAUUAUCUCCCUUUCAGAAAAAAAUUACUAUCGAAUAUCGACCCAAUAUUGGACCAGCUACCUAUUACAAUCCUAAAAAUGAUUUUGUUGGAAUUAUGUCAAGGAAAACAUGCAGCCAACUUGGAACCGGAUUUUUUGCAAGUAAAACGGUAGAACGGAAAGAAUCUUUUUUAAGUCCACCUUCAACGAAGUAUCAAAAGGUGUAUUACCAUCGAAAACGAAAAUCAAAGUCUUUUCCUUUCACUUCAAAAUUAGAUAGAUUUAUGGUAAAAAUUAAUUGUGUACCAACACCUGGCACAUACAAUAUAGAUAAACAAUUUUUACAUAAAUAUACUGAAAUGAGAAAAGGAAAAGUUGUAUCUCUAGCUUGUGUUGAGACAUUUUGCAGCAUAUUUACUAAUCAUGUGUGUCUCAAAUGUAAAGCUGCUUGCGAGAACGAUUAUUGGCACGAAAAUUUUAAAAUUUUUCUCUGCCACUUAUGCUGGCUUGAAGAAAAGCAUCGGAGUGAUUCGUUUACAAUGGAUGAGUUAAAGAAAUUUAAAAAAAUUCGAACUUGUCAAGAUAUACAUGUUCAUGAAGGAACAACGAUCACCAAAACUUUAUGUACGAAGGGGCGCAUAAUUAAAUUACGUAAUCUAGAAAAUUAUUUAUGAAUCCCUUAUUAAUACAAGUGCCUUUUAUCUAUCAGUAGUCUGUCGGUAGUUUGUCGCUUGAGCAUCUGGACAACCUUGUGAGUCAUCGAACAACCUUGUCUGUGCUGUAUUUUUAUCAAAUAUUUUUUUUUAAUCAAUGCAUUGCAAUGUUUGAACGGUCACUAGAAGAUACCAAGACAAUUUUAAACUGAAAAUUCCUUGGUUUAUGCAUGGUACCAGUUUGUGAUAACCACAUUAAUACCUUCUUUCUGAAAUACAAUUUUAUUUAUA
Molecule: long non-coding RNA, 1161 nt
Organism: Aethina tumida (small hive beetle)
Lineage: Eukaryota; Metazoa; Arthropoda; Insecta; Coleoptera; Nitidulidae
Exons: 2
Source: RefSeq, a predicted model, not a curated record